RNAcentral lists this ribosomal RNA (415 nucleotides) under uncultured prokaryote. Its description in RNAcentral is "bacterial SSU rRNA". It matches the Rfam family "Bacterial small subunit ribosomal RNA", at positions 505 to 918 of the family's 1533-position model. The record is from RNAcentral.
GUGUCAGCCGCCGCGGUAAUACGGGGGGUGCAAGCGUUGUUCGGAAUCAUUGGGCGUAAAGAGCGUGUAGGCGGCGUGAUAAGUCAGAUGUGAAAGCCCUGGGCUUAACCCAGGAAGUGCAUUUGAAACUGUCAGGCUUGAGUAAGGGAGAGGGAAGUGGAAUUCCUGGUGUAGAGGUGAAAUUCGUAGAUAUCAGGAGGAACACCGGUGGCGAAGGCGACUUCCUGGCCCUAUACUGACGCUGAGACGCGAGAGCGUGGGUAGCAAACAGGAUUAGAUACCCUGGUAGUCCACGCCGUAAACGAUGUUCACUAGGUGUUGGGGGUAUUGACCCCCUCAGUGCCGGAGCUAACGCAUUAAGUGAACCGCCUGGGGAGUACGGUCGCAAGACUAAAACUCAAAUGAAUUGACGGGG